This 199-nucleotide ribosomal RNA is filed under the name uncultured bacterium. RNAcentral's name for it is "partial 16S ribosomal RNA". It matches the Rfam family "Bacterial small subunit ribosomal RNA", at positions 328 to 539 of the family's 1533-position model. The record is from RNAcentral.
ACGCUCGACACCUACGGGGGGCAGCAGUGGGGAAUAUUGCACAAUGGGGGAAGGCCCUGAUGCAGCGACGCCGCGUGGAGGAAGAAGGUCUUCGGAUUGUAAACUCCUGUUGUUGGGGAAAAAGAGGAUGGUACCCAACAAGGAAGUGACGGCUAACUACGUGCCGGCAGCCGCGGUAAUCUGAGCGGGCUGGCAAGGC